Molecule: transfer RNA, 73 nt
Filed under: Cladonia rangiferina
Lineage: Eukaryota; Fungi; Ascomycota; Lecanoromycetes; Lecanorales; Cladoniaceae
Also listed under: 5 other names
Description: tRNA-Arg
Rfam family: tRNA
About the family: Transfer RNA (tRNA) molecules are approximately 80 nucleotides in length. Their secondary structure includes four short double-helical elements and three loops (D, anti-codon, and T loops).
Source: RNAcentral
GGCAUGUUAGCUUAAUUGGUUAAGCGAUGUGUUUCGGCCACAAGGAUUGUAAGUUCGAGUCUUACACAUGUCU